RNAcentral lists this ribosomal RNA (637 nucleotides) under uncultured Arthrobacter sp. Its description in RNAcentral is "bacterial SSU rRNA". It matches the Rfam family "Bacterial small subunit ribosomal RNA", at positions 338 to 974 of the family's 1533-position model. Lineage: Bacteria; Bacillati; Actinomycetota; Actinomycetes; Micrococcales; Micrococcaceae. The record is from RNAcentral.
CCUACGGGAGGCAGCAGUGGGGAAUAUUGCACAAUGGGCGCAAGCCUGAUGCAGCGACGCCGCGUGAGGGAUGAAGGCCUUCGGGUUGUAAACCUCUUUCAGUAGGGAAGAAGCCGGCUUUUUGGGUUGGUGACGGUACCUGCAGAAGAAGCGCCGGCUAACUACGUGCCAGCAGCCGCGGUAAUACGUAGGGCGCAAGCGUUAUCCGGAAUUAUUGGGCGUAAAGAGCUCGUAGGCGGUUUGUCGCGUCUGCCGUGAAAGUCCGGGGCUUAACUCCGGAUCUGCGGUGGGUACGGGCAGACUAGAGUGCAGUAGGGGAGACUGGAAUUCCUGGUGUAGCGGUGAAAUGCGCAGAUAUCAGGAGGAACACCGAUGGCGAAGGCAGGUCUCUGGGCUGUAACUGACGCUGAGGAGCGAAAGCAUGGGGAGCGAACAGGAUUAGAUACCCUGGUAGUCCAUGCCGUAAACGUUGGGCACUAGGUGUGGGGGACAUUCCACGUUUUCCGCGCCGUAGCUAACGCAUUAAGUGCCCCGCCUGGGGAGUACGGCCGCAAGGCUAAAACUCAAAGGAAUUGACGGGGGCCCGCACAAGCGGCGGAGCAUGCGGAUUAAUUCGAUGCAACGCGAAGAACCUUAC